GAUUCUGUAGCUCAGUUGGUAGAGCACAUCACUUUUAAUGAUGGGGUCCUGGGUUCGAGCCCCAGCAGGAUCA
RNAcentral lists this transfer RNA (73 nucleotides) under Dysgonomonas sp. HDW5A. It matches the Rfam family "tRNA". Rfam says of the family: Transfer RNA (tRNA) molecules are approximately 80 nucleotides in length. The record is from Rfam by way of RNAcentral. Lineage: Bacteria; Pseudomonadati; Bacteroidota; Bacteroidia; Bacteroidales; Dysgonomonadaceae. RNAcentral also lists the same sequence under 1 other name.